AUUGAACGCUGGCGGAAUGCUUUACACAUGCAAGUCGAGCGGCAGCACGGACUUCGGUCUGGUGGCGAGUGGCGAACGGGUGAGUAAUGUAUCGGAACGUGCCCAGUCGUGGGGGAUAACGUAGUGAAAAUUACGCUAAUACCGCAUACGAUCUAUGGAUGAAAGCGGGGGAUCGCAAGACCUCGCGCGAUUGGAGCGGCCGAUAUCAGAUUAGGUAGUUGGUGGGGUAAAGGCCCACCAAGCCAACGAUCUGUAGCUGGUCUGAGAGGACGACCAGCCACACUGGAACUGAGACACGGUCCAGACUCCUACGGGAGGCAGCAGUGGGGAAUUUUGGACAAUGGGCGAAAGCCUGAUCCAGCCAUUCCGCGUGCAGGAUGAAGGCCCUCGGGUUGUAAACUGCUUUUGUACAGAACGAGAAGGUUUCUACUAAUACUAGGAGCUCAUGACGGUACUGAAAGAAUAAGCACCGGCUAACUACGUGCCAGCCGCCGCCGUAA
Molecule: ribosomal RNA, 500 nt
Filed under: uncultured bacterium
Lineage: Bacteria
Description: partial 16S ribosomal RNA
Rfam family: Bacterial small subunit ribosomal RNA
Source: RNAcentral